GACGAACGCUGGCGGCGUGCUUAACACAUGCAAGUCGAACGGAAAGGCCCUGCUUGCAGGGUACUCGAGUGGCGAACGGGUGAGUAACACGUGGGUGAUCUGCCCUGCACUUCGGGAUAAGCUUGGGAAACUGGGUCUAAUACCGGAUAGGAGCCAUCUUUAGUGUGGUGGUUGGAAAGUUUUUUCGGUGUAGGAUGAGCUCGCGGCCUAUCAGCUUGUUGGUGGGGUAAUGGCCUACCAAGGCGGCGACGGGUAGCCGGCCUGAGAGGGUGUACGGCCACAUUGGGCCUGAGAUACGGCCCAGACUCCUACGGGAGGCAGCAGUGGGGAAUAUUGCACAAUGGGCGCAAGCCUGAUGCAGCGACGCCGCGUGGUGGAUGAAGGCCUUCGGGUUGUAAACUCCUUUCGCUAGGGACGAAGCUUUUUUGUGACGGUACCUAGAUAAGAAGCACCGGCUAACUACGUG
Molecule: ribosomal RNA, 466 nt
Filed under: uncultured bacterium
Lineage: Bacteria
Description: partial 16S ribosomal RNA
Rfam family: Bacterial small subunit ribosomal RNA
Source: RNAcentral